GGUAAGAGUGCGUGUGUGUGUGUGUGUGUGUGUGUGUGUGUUCAGCAUAGAGCGUGACAAAGCAGCAUCUCUCAGCACAGCAUGGAAUCUGUCAGACGGGCUGUUUAAUAAGUGGAGUGUGAUGCAAAGACCGACCCUAAAAAUGAGUCCCCCGCGCUCGGUUGCCAUGGCGAGUAUCAGACGAGGCUUUGUGCGAGUGUUGGGGAGAGGCAUAAAUCCGGGCGCCGCUAGAUUAGAAACAUGACGCCUCUAUCGCUCUCCUCUGUUCUCGCCUCACUUUGUUGUUCUGACUCGCGUUCCAAUUUGGUUCUGCCUCCCGCCUGCCUACAGGGAAAAAUGGACUCUUCUGGCCGACAUCUGAUAGCAGCCUGUCUGGCGUCACUGUAAACGAAUGAGUCUGUCACGGCGCAAACAAUCUGCAUUCAUCAUGUCUUAUCUGGCCGAGCCUCCGCCCGGCAGCAGCCUGGAAGAGUGAGCGUCCUUGGAGGAGAGCGGGAGGGCGGGAUGAGGCACGCAGGGUCAAGGUCAACAACAACUCGGGGCUCGGACUUAUUCGAGAGCUGCUGUUGGAUUCCUAGCAUCAGAGAAGGGCGCAGGCGGCUUGACUUACCCCUGAUCCUUUUUAGUUUCCUUGAGCACCUUUUGCAGUAAAGGCUAAUUCAUGCAAACGACAGGAUCAGACGGUCUGACAACGAAACAUAACAAUGCCUUGCUUGAGGGCUUAUUGUUAUGAAUUAUGUGCUGAGAGUGUCACUUGCUGGACGUUCACCACCACAAGGAUCCACAGCGCCCGCCUGUCAUGUGCAUGCCAGGCCAGUAGAUGGGGAUGUGACUUUGCAAAUCCACUUCAAACACGUAAACCGUGUGAGUCGUCAGAGCUGCAGAACCACAAACAAGAGCUACGGCACGGUGGUCGUAACAUACUGCCUACACUGAACGCUGUCCCAUGAAAGCCACGUGUGCAUGUUGCAUUUUUAGCAUUGCUUCAUAUUUUCUGUUUGCAUUUUUUUCCUGUUCAUGUGCAUUUGAAUGUUAUGAUAUGCUGUCUUAGAAGUAAUGAGUGUAUCUGUAUCCAUACACAUACAUAUACUUCUACACUCCCGAUCCAAAUGUUCAGAUCAGUUGGAAAAUGCGGACAAUGUACAUCUUGCACCUCCUCUUACGGAGGUUCUAAGUAGAGCUUCAAAAUGCAAAAAAAAGAAAUGGGAGUGAGACAAAACACAUUUUGAGCAAGCAAUUUAUUGCAAGGAAGCAUUAAAGUGAAAUAGACUUUCAUCAGCUCAUCAAAAGUUUAAGAGCAUAGCUCAGAAAGCCCCCAGAACCCCCUAAAAAUAGAAAUAAAA
Dunckerocampus dactyliophorus (ringed pipefish) is the source of this 1343-nucleotide long non-coding RNA. RefSeq lists it as uncharacterized. The record is from RefSeq and is a predicted model, not a curated record. Lineage: Eukaryota; Metazoa; Chordata; Actinopteri; Syngnathiformes; Syngnathidae. The transcript is spliced from 2 exons.